This 253-nucleotide ribosomal RNA is filed under the name uncultured bacterium. RNAcentral's name for it is "partial 16S ribosomal RNA". It matches the Rfam family "Bacterial small subunit ribosomal RNA", at positions 524 to 776 of the family's 1533-position model. The record is from RNAcentral.
UACGUAGGGUGCAAGCGUUAAUCGGAAUUACUGGGCGUAAAGCGUGCGCAGGCGGUUCCAUAAAACAGAUGCGAAAUCCCCGGGCUCAACCUUGGAUCUGCACUUGUGACUGUUGGGCUAGAGAACGGUAGAGGGGGAUGGAAUUCCGCGUGUAGCAGUGAAAUGCGUAGAUAUGCGGAGGAACACCAAUGGCGAAGGCAAUCCCCUGGACCUGUACUGACGCUCAUGCACGAAAGCUUGGGGAGCAAACAGG